This 253-nucleotide ribosomal RNA is filed under the name uncultured bacterium. RNAcentral describes it as "partial 16S ribosomal RNA". It matches the Rfam family "Bacterial small subunit ribosomal RNA", at positions 524 to 776 of the family's 1533-position model. The record is from RNAcentral.
UACGUAGGGGGCAAGCGUUGUCCGGAUUAUUGGGCGUAAAGCGCGUGUAGGCGGCUUGGCAAGUCCGCUGUGAAAACUCGAGGCUCAACCUCGAGAUGUCGGUGGAAACUGCCUGGCUAGAGUCCGGAAGAGGAGUGUGGAAUUCCUGGUGUGAGCGGUGAAAUGCGCAGAUAUCAGGAAGAACACCUAUGGCGAAGGCAGCACUCUGGGACGGUACUGACGCUGAGACGCGAAAGCGUGGGGAGCGAACAGG